Molecule: long non-coding RNA, 502 nt
Filed under: Elaeis guineensis (African oil palm)
Lineage: Eukaryota; Viridiplantae; Streptophyta; Magnoliopsida; Arecales; Arecaceae
Description: long non-coding RNA (EGUI_LNC075055)
Source: RNAcentral
GUGAUAGGCGGCUCCACGCAAGCAUUGAUGAGGCCAAGACAUCAUAGUGGCCGAGUCACCCUGUACAGACAGAUGAUCAGCAUGUAGAAACCGAUGCACAUAGGUAAUCUCAAUCCAUGCGGCUUGGAGCUCCGUAUAAGAAAUGAUCGGAUCAAAGAGGUGACUACCUUCGGCCGUUACAAUCUAGAAGCCAAAUCAUGAAUGACGAAGUCAGAUCCACCACUCCUAUUUCUGACACUAUCGUCAAAGUUGACCUUAAAAAAUCAUAGAGUAGGGGGCUCCCAGAUGACAAAGACACCUUAGGCUGCUACUUGAGCAGGUUGGGAGUCCUAGAUCUUUGAGGUUUCGAGGCCACAUCAAUCAUUUUAAUAGCCAAAGUCAAAGCUCGCUCCUAAAUGAAUUUCGUUGGGCAUCUUCUAACCUCAAAUACUAGAGCAUUACUAGCAAGCCAGAUCUACUAGGCUAUAUAGGCUGCUUGAAUACCAACUGACCGCAGUACUCC